AUUCAUCUGACGAGUCCCAAACAGGACGAAACGCGCGUCCUGGAU
Non-coding RNA from Schistosoma mattheei, 45 nucleotides. The record is from Rfam. Lineage: Eukaryota; Metazoa; Platyhelminthes; Trematoda; Strigeidida; Schistosomatidae.